Molecule: ribosomal RNA, 345 nt
Filed under: uncultured bacterium
Lineage: Bacteria
Description: bacterial SSU rRNA
Rfam family: Bacterial small subunit ribosomal RNA
Source: RNAcentral
AUUGAACGCUGGCGGCAUGCCUUACACAUGCAAGUCGAACGGCAGCACGGGAGCAAUCCUGGUGGCGAGUGGCGAACGGGUGAGUAAUAUAUCGGAACGUGCCCAGUCUGGGGAUAACGUAGCGAAAGCUACGCUAAUACCGCAUACGAUCUAUGGAUGAAAGCGGGGGAUCGCAAGACCUCGCGCGAUUGGAGCGGCCGAUAUCAGAUUAGGUAGUUGGUGAGGUAAAGGACUCACCAAGCCGACGAUCUGUAGCUGGUCUGAGAGGACGACCAGCCACACUGGGACUGAGACACGGCCCAGACUCCUACGGGAGGCAGCAGUGGGGAAUUUUGGACAAUGGGC